Molecule: ribosomal RNA, 904 nt
Filed under: uncultured bacterium
Lineage: Bacteria
Description: bacterial SSU rRNA
Rfam family: Bacterial small subunit ribosomal RNA
Source: RNAcentral
CGUGCCAGCAGCCGCGGUAAUACGAGGGUGGCAAGCGUUAUCCGGGUUUAUUGGGCGUAAAGAGCGCGUAGGCGGUUUUAUAAGUCUCGGCUUAAAUCCUAUUGCCCAACAAUAGGACCUGUCAGGAUACUGUAAAACUAGUGGAUAGCAGGGGUAAGCGGAAUUCCCGGUGUAGGAGUAAAAUCCAUUGAUAUCGGGAGGAACACCAAUGGCGAAGGCAGCUUACUAGGCUAUUUUCAGACGCUAAGGCGCGAAAGCGUGGGGAGCGAACGGGAUUAGAUACCCCGGUAGUCCACGCCGUAAACUAUGCUGACUAGCUAUCAGGAGAAUCGACCCUUCUUGUAGCGAAGCUAACGCGUUAAGUCAGCCGCCUGGGUAGUACGGUCGCAAGACUAAAACUCAAAGGAAUAGACGGGGGCUCGCACAAGCGGUGGAACAUGAGGUUUAAUUCGACAACAAGCGAAAAACCUUACCGGGGUUCACCCCAUCAGAAUCCCGCAGAAAUGUGGGAGUGCCCGCAAGGGAGCUAAUAGGUCGGUGGUGCACGGUUGUCGUCAGCUCGUGCCGUGAGGUGUCCCGUUAAGUCGGUCAACGAGCGCAACCCCUAUCCUGUGUUGCUCCGAUGUCAUGUCGGAGCUCUCACUGGAGACUGCCUCGCCCUAUGGCGGGGAGGAAGGCGGGGAUGACGUCAAAUCAGCGUGUCCCUUAUGCCCUGGGCUACACUCGUGUUACAAUGGUCAGCAACAGCGGGUUGCAAGCUCGUGAGAGCAAGCUAAUCCCUGAAAUCUGGCCCCAGUUCGGAUUGUAGGCUGCAACUCGCCUACAUGAAGCCGGAAUCGCUAGUAACCGUGGAUCAGCACGCCACGGUGAAUACGUUCUCGAGCCUUGUACACACCGCCCGUCA